AUAUAUGAAGCCAGUUCAAAAAAAAUGAAAAGCCACUGGGGGCAGUCUCGUCCCUACGUGCGUCUAAUGACCAAGAAAUCCACUAUCAAACAUCAAGGAUUGCGAAAGAUCACAUAGCUCUCGAUCACAAGGGUUUGACGAAGAAGAAGGAGGAGGAGAAGCAAGCAGAGGAUGUAAAGAUGUUGUUUUUUGGAAUUUAUGACUAUUGCGGUGGUGGAAACAAAGAUAGUGAUCGAUCUCACAAGAACCAUUACUCGAGAAGGAGUUUGAAAUUCACACUCAUUUUACACUGAUGCUGGCAUUUCAGGAUUUGGAGCAAAGUCACAACAUUCCGAUGGCUAAAUCCACUUUUCAAGAGGGGUCGAAACCAAAAGCUGGAAUUAUACCAUAUUACCAUCUGUCCCUCCUUCAGAAAGAGCAGCAAAUGCUUCAGCUUUGCUCGAAGAAUCAUUCCGGAAACAGAAGAUGGAAGAUUCUUCAUUGCCAAAAGCCAUAAUUCGGGCCGUAUGGAAAUCAUUAGCUGUAAAUGCAGUUUUUGCAGGUAUUUCUGUCUAUUUAGUACUAUUCAAAUAGUGUGAUUGAAAGUAGUACUCUUACUUUAUAUUUUUCAGAAAUGUUGGAAUUAUGCAUUCAAAGAUUAGUGUGUGAAAGUAUGGAAUCAAGUUACGUAAAAAACCCACAGAGUCUCUCCCCAUAGAAAACUCUAUCUUUCCUCCCCUUCUGUUGCCAGAUCUUGAUCAAUGUUUUGAUCGGGAUCCUUGGCUUGAGAAUGGGGGAGGCUUUCCCUUCCGUUUUUCCUUUUACUUCUGUUAAUUUCGGUUUUCCCUCUCCCGUUUUCUCCAUGCCCACCGUCUUGGGUGGUUUUGCUCGGAGCUUGUCUCUGAUUUGGAUCUGUUCGAUUUCGAACUUCCACUUUUCAGUUUCAUUGGUACUCACCCUUUUCAUUCCACUGUUCUUGUCUUCUGCCGUGGUCGGUUUAAGUGGGGUUUGCCCACUAGGGCUCUUGGUGAAGCAACAAGGGUUUGUGUAUCUUCGAUCUCAUCUGUUCUUUUCAUCCGGUUGUUGUUCCUCUGGUUUCUUGGCGGAAGAAUUUCGGUGUGGUGAUUUCUGAAUCUCUGGAGGCUAGGCUGGUAACCUUGAAUUCGAUAUGGGUCUUGCCCGAUCAUAUAUAUAUAUAUAUGAUUAGUAUAACUACAAAAAUUAAUUAAUGUAUCACUUAGUUCUUUAGGAGUCAAUGUUGUUGCAUCCUGUAUUAGUCCCUUCGUAAUCAGAAAUUUUAUGAAGUAUAUAGUUGGAAAGUAUGAUAGCUCAAACAAGUAUUAUGGAGAAAAACUUGCCUUCAUAUUCUUUUUUGGCAAUGACUUUGUACUCAAUUACUCAAAGGAAACUAUCUUUUGGCACUUGGCAAAUUGGUCUACAAGUAAGAGCUGCUCUGACCACCUUAAUCUACAAGAAGUGCAUCUCAAUUAAGUACUCUAGUCUAAGAAAUAGUAAAAUCGUAAACUUAAUCAACAUGGAUAUAGAAGUGGUUGGAGAAUUCGUCUCUUCUAUUCAUUAAGUUUGGGUGUUUCCCUUUCAAGUGUUUUUGGCAUUGAUUAUCUAGUACAAAAAUCUCGGUGUUGCUCAUUCUCUGUCGACCUUUUUGACCAUAGUAGCAGUAGUGGUAUAUAUGCAACACACCAUUGACUCGAAGACAACAAAAUCUCCAAUCAAAAUAAUCAUGGAAGCAUAGGAUUCAAGAAUUAAGAAACCUUAGAGACUCUAAAAAGCAUGAGAGUCGUAAAAUUCAAUUCAUGGGAAAAUAGUUUCUUAUAGAAGCUCCUUCAACUCAGAAAAACUGAGAAAAAUUAGUUAAAAAGAUUUUUGUACGUACACUAAGGCAGCAUUGGUAUUUCUCUUCUGGACUUCACCGACUAUAGUGUCAAUGAUUACUUUUGGUGUUUGCAUCAUGAUGAAAACAACAUUAGAACCAUAUACAGUUCUAUCAGCUUUAGCCACUUUCAGAAUCCUUAUCGAGCAUAUUUACAACCUAUCAGUGUAU
Molecule: RNA transcript, 2041 nt
Organism: Rosa rugosa (rugosa rose)
Lineage: Eukaryota; Viridiplantae; Streptophyta; Magnoliopsida; Rosales; Rosaceae
Exons: 2
Source: RefSeq, a predicted model, not a curated record